Fopius arisanus is the source of this 1895-nucleotide RNA transcript. It is a transcript of the gene named WD repeat-containing protein 55 homolog, with no coding region annotated. Lineage: Eukaryota; Metazoa; Arthropoda; Insecta; Hymenoptera; Braconidae. The transcript is spliced from 6 exons. The record is from RefSeq and is a predicted model, not a curated record.
CGAAGGGUUCAAACUGGAAGAGCACAUGUGUUUGAUGCAUUGAUGAGAGGUUAGUCAAACAAAAAUUGAUCCCAGCAUGUCCUCUUUGUUCUGCCUCAAAUAAUAUGGUGAUUUACAAUUCGGUUUUUCAAGAAGGAAGAAACGAGAUGAUCGACGACAGUGACGACAGUGAAACGUCAGACGUCAGUGUGUCCAGUGAUUCUGAUAAUUCUGAUGAUUCUGAUUCAGAUAAUGAUGAGGAUCCCACAGCUUUUGGGAGGGAAGAGAAUGAGGAAGAGGAUGAGUUGGUCCAGGCUAUCGAAAACUCGAGAAACCACCAUCGGGGACAUCCGCCUGCCAUUCCUACUGAGGAGUUUGUUGUGAAUGUCUGUUUUCAUCCGGAGGACAAUAUCAUUGCUCUGGCUAAUGUCGAGGGCGAUAUUCUCAUGUAUAAGUACGAUAAUGAGGACAAUACGUUGAUCGCGACAAUUGAAGUGCACGAGAGGGCCUGUCGUGAUGUUCAGUUUAAUGCUAAAGGGGACACCAUUUUUUCUGUCAGCAAGGACAAGUCUAUGGCUGUCACUGAUGUCACCAGUGGAAAACUCAAACGUUUUUAUGAUAAGGCUCAUGAAUGUCCUAUUUAUACUACUACAAUCAUCAACGAGAAUGUUGUUGCUACUGGAGACGAUGAUGGAACAAUCAAAAUCUGGGAUUUGAGGCAACGUGGAUCGAAUCCAAUCCUUUCAGUGAAAGAGAACGGCGACUACAUAAGUUCGAUGAUAACAAACGACGAUGGAAAAUAUUUAGUCUGCGCCAGUGGAGAUGGUGUCCUAACGACCCUAAACGUUCCAGCGAGAAAACUUCACGUCCAGUCCGAGGAAUACGACGAUGAAUUCACAUCCCUGGGGCUGUUCAAGGGGAAUACGAAACUCCUGACUGCUAGCAACACUGGAAAGAUGUACGUCUUCAAUUGGGGAGAGUUUGGCUUCCAUUCCGAUGAGUUUCCUAAUUUAACGAAGAAAGCUAUCAACUGUAUUAUUCCAAUUACUGAUAAUGUAGUAAUUACUGGUGGGGAGGACGGAUUGCUGAGAGCCUUCAGUUUAUUUCCCCACCGAAGACUCGGAAUAGUCGGGCAGCACGAUUUCUCCAUCGAAACCGUGGAUAUCUCCAAUGAUGGAACAUUAAUAGCUUCAUCGUCUCACGACAACAUCGUGAAGUUCUGGAACGUCAAAUACUUCGAGACCCUGAACGUAGAGGAACCGAUUAAAGGAGGAAAACAAAAGCAGAUGAAGCACAAUUUACCUAGUAGUAAAGUCAACAAUGCUGGAGACUUCUUCGCAGACUUAGAAUAAUUAAUUAAGCUCUACGAUAAUUUAACUCAUGUGUAAGAAACAGCUGCGAGAUAACGCGAACUGAUGUCCUAUUUAUACUACUACAAUCAUCAACGAGAAUGUCGUUGCUACUGGAGACGAUGAUGGAACAAUCAAAAGUACGAUUUUAUCAGUGAUUAUUUAGUUUUAAAUUUUUCUUUCAACGCGGAAUUUACCACAAAUAAAUAAUCAAUGAAGACGAAUUUGUGUCUCCAAAUUUUGGUUUCGCAGAAUAAUUUUUCUCAAAAUUUGAUUAAUCCCCUUCCAUAAAUUGAAUUUGAAUUUCAUCUAUUUCACUCCAAGAUUUCCUUGAUUUCCCUUAUGUUCUUAAGAUUUUUAAAAUAUUUUUGCAACUCCAGGAUUCUAAAAGACCGUUCCGCUUUCUUCGACCCCAGAAUUCAUUGGUUUUCGAUUUUUUUUCAGGAACCCGAGAAAAAUGGAAAUUGAAAUUGAAUUGAUCAAUUCCUCAAAUAAAAAUGUAAAAUUCCCAAGUAUAGUUUUGGGCAUUCGACAGUCUUAAGGGGUCAUUGUCAAUAUCUUUUAAUU